AGAGUUUGAUCCUGGCUCAGAUUGAACGCUGGCGGCAGGCUUAACACAUGCAAGUCGAGCGGAGAGAGGUAGCUUGCUACUGAUCUUAGCGGCGGACGGGUGAGUAAUGCUUAGGAAUCUGCCUAUUAGUGGGGGACAACAUUUCGAAAGGAAUGCUAAUACCGCAUACGUCCUACGGGAGAAAGCAGGGGAUCUUCGGACCUUGCGCUAAUAGAUGAGCCUAAGUCGGAUUAGCUAGUUGGUGGGGUAAAGGCCUACCAAGGCGACGAUCUGUAGCGGGUCUGAGAGGAUGAUCCGCCACACUGGGACUGAGACACGGCCCAGACUCCUACGGGAGGCAGCAGUGGGGAAUAUUGGACAAUGGGCGCAAGCCUGAUCCAGCCAUGCCGCGUGUGUGAAGAAGGCCUUAUGGCUGUAAAGCACUUUAAGCGAGGAGGAGGCUACUUUAGUUAAUACCUAGAGAUAGUGGACGUUACUCGCAGAAUAAGCACCGGCUAACUCUGUGCCAGCAGCCGCGGUAAUACAGAGGGUGCAAGCGUUAAUCGGAUUUACUGGGCGUAAAGCGCGCGUAGGCGGCUAAUUAAGUCAAAUGUGAAAUCCCCGAGCUUAACUUGGGAAUUGCAUUCGAUACUGGUUAGCUAGAGUGUGGGAGAGGAUGGUAGAAUUCCAGGUGUAGCGGUGAAAUGCGUAGAGAUCUGGAGGAAUACCGAUGGCGAAGGCAGCCAUCUGGCCUAACACUGACGCUGAGGUGCGAAAGCAUG
This 761-nucleotide ribosomal RNA is filed under the name uncultured bacterium. RNAcentral describes it as "bacterial SSU rRNA". It matches the Rfam family "Bacterial small subunit ribosomal RNA", at positions 8 to 763 of the family's 1533-position model. The record is from RNAcentral.